GUUUUAUGCUGUACAGUUUCUUUCAGGCUUUUCAGGACAAAUUAUUUCACUUGUUAGUCUGGACAUGAUUGGCAAUCAAGGCAAGACGUGAACACUGAAUGAAAUGUCAGAUGUGUUGAACUGCAGCUGCACGGAAGCGCUAAAGAGGUUUCACUCAAACAAGGAUUUAACCUGAUGAAAUCCAAAGUUGUGCCUGAUAUACACACAGGUAGCUGACGCUCACGUUGUUGUGUUGGAGGGAAAGCUGUGUGGGAGAGACUGAUGGCACAAAGUCUGGUGACAUAAGAAUUACACUUUUGCCCCCUGGAAGAAAAAAAAGUGAAAAAUUACUGUCAUUGAAGCUCCACUCCAAAAAAAUGGUGUUUUUGGUUUUUUUACAUGUUUUUGUGGCAUUUUCUGAUGAUGGAG
Molecule: long non-coding RNA, 408 nt
Organism: Oryzias melastigma (Indian medaka)
Lineage: Eukaryota; Metazoa; Chordata; Actinopteri; Beloniformes; Adrianichthyidae
Exons: 3
Source: RefSeq, a predicted model, not a curated record